GAUGAAGAACGCAGCGAAAUGCGAUAAGUAGUGUGAAUUGCAGAAUUCCGUGAAUCAUCGAAUCUUUGAACGCACAUUGCGCCUUCUGGUAUUCCGGAAGGCUUGCCUGUUCGAGAGUCAUUAACAACCGUUUCGAUCCCUUUCUUUCAGAAAUUACAAAGAGGAAAAGGGUUUGGUAUGGUGGAGGAGGGAAAGGGAGCGUUUAGCCUGUAAAAAAAGAGGCUGUGUUCCGCCUACCCCCCAAAAUUGUACAGGCGGUCGUGUGCGCCCACGCAUCGAGGUGUUGUAAAAGCUGCCACGGCACUUUUCACCUGUGCAGUGCGAGAUUGGCCAGCCGGUUUAAAAACCCCUCCAAACAAUCAAAGGUUGACCUCGGAUCAGGUAGGGAUACCCGCUGAACUUAAGCAUAUCAAUAAGCGGAGGA
This 424-nucleotide unclassified non-coding RNA is filed under the name soil metagenome. Its description in RNAcentral is "partial contains 5.8S ribosomal RNA, internal transcribed spacer 2, and large subunit ribosomal RNA". The stretch from base 1 to 120 matches the Rfam family "5.8S ribosomal RNA", at positions 35 to 154 of the family's 154-position model. The record is from RNAcentral.